GACGAACGCUGGCGGCGUGCCUAAUACAUGCAAGUCGAGCGGAGCUGGGGGAGCUUGCUCCUUCCAGUUUAGCGGCGGACGGGUGAGUAACACGUGGGCAACCUGCCCUGCAGAUCGGGAUAACUCCGGGAAACCGGUGCUAAUACCGAAUAGUUUGGCGCCUCUCCUGAGGCGCCACGGAAAGACGGUUUCGGCUGUCACUGCAGGAUGGGCCCGCGGCGCAUUAGCUAGUUGGUGGGGUAACGGCCCACCAAGGCGACGAUGCGUAGCCGACCUGAGAGGGUGACCGGCCACACUGGGACUGAGACACGGCCCAGACUCCUACGGGAGGCAGCAGUAGGGAAUCUUCCGCAAUGGACGCAAGCCUGACGGAGCAACGCCGCGUGAGUGACGAAGGUUUUCGGACCGUAAAACUCUGUUGUGAGGGAAGAACACGUACCAACUAACUAUUGGUACCUUGACGGUACCUCACCAGAAAGCCACGGCUAACUACGUGCCAGCCGCCGCGGUAA
Molecule: ribosomal RNA, 512 nt
Filed under: uncultured bacterium
Lineage: Bacteria
Description: partial 16S ribosomal RNA
Rfam family: Bacterial small subunit ribosomal RNA
Source: RNAcentral